UACGAAGGGGGCUAGCGUUGCUCGGAAUCACUGGGCGUAAAGGGUGCGUAGGCGGGUUUUUAAGUCAGGGGUGAAAUCCUGGAGCUCAACUCCAGAACUGCCUUUGAUACUGAAGAUCUUGAGUCCGGGAGAGGUGAGUGGAACUGCGAGUGUAGAGGUGAAAUUCGUAGAUAUUCGCAAGAACACCAGUGGCGAAGGCGGCUCACUGGCCCGAUACUGACGCUGAGGCGCGAAAGCGUGGGGAGCAAACAGG
RNAcentral lists this ribosomal RNA (253 nucleotides) under uncultured bacterium. Its description in RNAcentral is "partial 16S ribosomal RNA". It matches the Rfam family "Bacterial small subunit ribosomal RNA", at positions 524 to 776 of the family's 1533-position model. The record is from RNAcentral.